This is a non-coding RNA of Lonchura striata (white-rumped munia), 624 nucleotides long. The record is from RefSeq and is a predicted model, not a curated record. NCBI's taxonomy places the organism in Eukaryota, Metazoa, Chordata, Aves, Passeriformes, Estrildidae.
GGGCUGAUCCCGGCCUGCCUUCCCGGGAGCUGCUCCCGGCGCUCACCGAGGGGCUCCCAUCCCACCUGGGAACGCUCCAGCCCGGCCAGCUCUCGCUCCUGGGGUGCCACACAGCAGGAAACAAAGCUGAAGCACGGCAAACGAGCUCUAGCAAAGGAAAGAGAAAGAAAAUCACCACCAACAUUCAAUUCUCUUUCUUUGCUUCUUCUUUACAGAUAGAAAUGUUUUCUUAAAGGAACUGAUUGCCAGACACAAAUUUUGCUACUUGUGCUUGACAGAAUCCUGAGAAUGAGAAGCCUUUUGUAGCCAGAAAAAAACACAAUGUAAAUUUUCUACUCUUCUACUGCUGAGAUGACUCAAUACCAGUCCACAGGGGUCUGAAGGGAGCCUGGAUGGAUUGUAAUGCACAUGGAUAGACCGAAAUGCUCAGCAGAUGAUUUUGCUUAAAUCUCAAAUGCAAACUUGGGAGCAUUUUCCCAAGAUCCUGAAUUAUACCUGCUGCUAAACACACUCCAAGAGUUCUCAGGCCCCCUGAGCCUGCCUUGCAGUGGAAGUGUCCUGUUGUGUGUAUUCGUGCUGAGUGGAUGCUGCUCCAUACCUCCAGCUCCCCACCCUGCAUUCCUC